This 253-nucleotide ribosomal RNA is filed under the name uncultured bacterium. Its description in RNAcentral is "partial 16S ribosomal RNA". It matches the Rfam family "Bacterial small subunit ribosomal RNA", at positions 524 to 776 of the family's 1533-position model. The record is from RNAcentral.
UACGUAGGGGGCAAGCGUUGUCCGGAUUUACUGGGCGUAAAGAGCGUGUAGGCGGCCAAGCAGGUCCGUUGUGAAAACUGGAGGCUUAACCUCCAGACGUCGACGGAAACCGCGUGGCUAGAGUCCGGAAGAGGAGAGUGGAAUUCCUGGUGUAGCGGUGAAAUGCGCAGAUAUCAGGAAGAACACCAAUGGCGAAGGCAGCUCUCUGGGACGGUACUGACGUUGAGACGCGAAAGCGUGGGGAGCGAACAGG